CCCGGGCCCCGCGGGCCUGCAGCGCCCCCGCACCCGGUUCCACGCGCCCAGGGCCGCCCCCGCGGAGAGAGGGGGCGCGAGGGGCGCGCCUCUCGCUCGGACACCCUCUCCCAGCUCGCGCCCCAGGUAACUUAAACCCAAUUAUAAAUGGCUUUGGCUAUAAAGUGUUCUUGAAUGAAAACGUUUAGGAAGUAGGCCUGGAUUCAGAUGCUUCAGAGGCUCAAAGGUUUUCUAAUUGUUUAUGGAGAAGAUUGAUCUUCACAAGCUAGUUUUUUCAUAGGCAAAAGCAAAAGUCUCUUCCUGUGUUAUUAAGUGAAAAUGGCUGAUUAUAAAAAGGGGCUUACAAACAAUAUUUAACAAAUCUUCAUCAAGUCCCUACUCUGUGGCAGGCCCUGGGUCAGGAGGUUGCCGAUUCCAGGAAGAAUCAGACCUUAUCCCUGCCCUUGAGUCUCAAGAAGAGGAAAGGAAAACAAAUAAGCAUAGUACAGUGUGAAAAGUGGGACUGUGGUCAAAUUUCAGUCUGCAAACUCAGAAUGGAUGAAAUAUGAAAGACUGACAACAUCAAGUUGUCAAGUAGGACAGGAUGUGGAACCACUGGAACUCAUACGUGACUGAUGGGAAUGCAAAAUGAUACCGAUCCCUUGGAAAACUCCUUGGCAACUUUAAUAAACAUAAAUCUACCCUAUGAUCCAGAAAUUCCACUCUGAGUCACGUCUCCAAGAGCAAUGAAAAUAUAUACCCACAAAAGACUGCACAUAAAUCAGAACAGCAUUGUUGAUAAUAGCCCAAACUGGAAACAACCUAAAUAUUCACCAAUAGAAGCCUGAAUAAAUUCAUACUGUGGGAUACUCUACAGCAAUGAGAUCAUGAAAGAUAGUGUGGCUUCCACUUUGGUCUCUUAUAUCACCUACUGGGGGAAGCCAGCUGCCAUGUUGUGAGGACACUCAAGAAGCUCUGUGGAGAGGCUCUUUUGAAGGAGAACCAAUGCCUCCCACCAACAGCCAGCAUCAACUUGGGACAUGUGAGUGAACCAAUUGGAAGUGGAUCCUCCAGCCAAGUCAAGCCUUCAGAUGACUGAAGCCCCAGCCUCAUGAGAGAUAGCAGGCUAAAACUGCCCAGCUAAGCUGCUCCUGAAAUCCUGACCCCCCAAAUUAUAAAAGACAAUAAAUUAUUAUUGUUGUUUUAAGCCA
This 1190-nucleotide long non-coding RNA is filed under the name Homo sapiens (human). RNAcentral describes it as "HSALNT0310389". The record is from RNAcentral. Lineage: Eukaryota; Metazoa; Chordata; Mammalia; Primates; Hominidae.